This 280-nucleotide ribosomal RNA is filed under the name uncultured bacterium. RNAcentral describes it as "partial 16S ribosomal RNA". It matches the Rfam family "Archaeal small subunit ribosomal RNA", at positions 456 to 735 of the family's 1478-position model. The record is from RNAcentral.
UGCUAGCAGCCGCGGUAAUACCGGCAGCCCGAGUGAUGGCCGAUAUUAUUGGGCCUAAAGCGUUCGUAGCCGGCCAGACAAGACUGUUGGGAAAUCCACCCGCUCAACGGGUGGACGUCCGGCGGAAACCAGUCGGCUUGGGGCCGGGAGACCAGAGAGGUACGUCCGGGGUAGGAGUGAAAUCCCGUAAUCCUGGACGGACCGCCGGUAGCGAAAGCGUCUCUGGAGAACGGACCCGACGGUGAGGGACGAAAGCUUGGGUCUCGAACCGGAUUAGAUA